This 463-nucleotide ribosomal RNA is filed under the name uncultured bacterium. RNAcentral describes it as "partial 16S ribosomal RNA". It matches the Rfam family "Bacterial small subunit ribosomal RNA", at positions 28 to 507 of the family's 1533-position model. The record is from RNAcentral.
GAUGAACGCUGACAGAAUGCUUAACACAUGCAAGUCUUUGGCGAAGCUGUGCUUGCACAGCCUAGCCAAGGCGGACGGGUGAGUAACGCGUAAGGAACUUGCCCUGCAGUCAGGGAUAACAGACGGAAACGACUGAUAAGACCUGGUAAAGUCAGGCGGACUCAUGUCCAGCCUGAUGAAAAGUGAUGCUGCAGGAGAGCCUUGCGUCCUAUUAGCUUGUUGGUGGGGUAACGGCCCACCAAGGCGAUGAUAGGUAGCCGGCCUGAGAGGGUGGACGGCCACAAGGGGACUGAGAUACGGCCCUUACUCCCACGGGAGGCAGCAGUGGGGAAUAUUGGACAAUGGGGGCAACCCUGAUCCAGCAAUUCUGUGUGCACGAUGAAGGUUUUCGGAUUGUAAAGUGCUUUCAGCAGGGAAGAAAAAAAUGACGGUACCUGCAGAAGAAGCGACGGCUAAAUACGUG